AGUGCAAGCCGACUUGUCGCUGUUUUCUUUUGGUACCACCGAAAGAAGAGGGAGGAAAGUCCGGGCAACGUAGAGCGCCAUACUUCCUAACGGGAAGGAGCUUUGCUGGUGACGGCAAGGUUACAGACAGUGCCACAGAAAAUAUACCGCCCGGGUCUGGUGAAAACCUAAACCGGGUAAGGGUGAAAAGGUGGGGUAAGAGCCCACCGCCCCGACAGUGAUGAAGGGGGCAAGGCAAACCUUAUGGGUUGAAAGAUCAAAUAGGCUCCGGUCCAAGGGCUGCUCGUCCAAUCCCAUGUCGAUAUUUUUAUCGAUACGGGAAACCGGAGUGGGUAGAUCGAUUGAGCCAGAGCGCGAGUUCUGGCCUAGAUAAAUGGCAAGUGUCCCGUUUUGCGGGAAACAGAACCCGGCUUACAGGCUUGCACUUUUA
Molecule: RNase P RNA, 430 nt
Filed under: Rhodonellum ikkaensis
Lineage: Bacteria; Pseudomonadati; Bacteroidota; Cytophagia; Cytophagales; Cytophagaceae
Also listed under: 2 other names
Description: Bacterial RNase P class A
Rfam family: Bacterial RNase P class A
About the family: Ribonuclease P (RNase P) is a ubiquitous endoribonuclease, found in archaea, bacteria and eukarya as well as chloroplasts and mitochondria.
Source: RNAcentral